RNAcentral lists this transfer RNA (84 nucleotides) under Cronartium quercuum f. sp. fusiforme G11. It matches the Rfam family "tRNA". Rfam says of the family: Transfer RNA (tRNA) molecules are approximately 80 nucleotides in length. Their secondary structure includes four short double-helical elements and three loops (D, anti-codon, and T loops). Further hydrogen bonds mediate the characteristic L-shaped molecular structure. tRNAs have two regions of fundamental functional importance: the anti-codon, which is responsible for specific mRNA codon recognition, and the 3' end, to which the tRNAs corresponding amino acid is attached (by aminoacyl-tRNA synthetases). tRNAs cope with the degeneracy of the genetic code in two manners: having more than one tRNA (with a specific anti-codon) for a particular amino acid; and 'wobble' base-pairing, i.e. permitting non-standard base-pairing at the 3rd anti-codon position. The record is from Rfam by way of RNAcentral. Lineage: Eukaryota; Fungi; Basidiomycota; Pucciniomycetes; Pucciniales; Coleosporiaceae.
GGGGUUCUAGCUCAUCGGUAGAGCGCUCGCUUAGCACCCGGUCUCGGUUGCGAGAGGCGCUGGGUUCGAUUCCCAGGUACUCCA